GGUUGGAGUUUAUUUGCAAUUAGUAGGUGUCGAUGGUUUCAUUUUGAGCUAUUUUUGUUUAUUGAUCAAGAAUUGAUUUUGAUUGCUUCCACAGGUGAAAUUCAGGCAAGUUUUGUCUUCACAAGUCAUAAAAUUUAGGGCUUUGACUUUUGUGUUCCCUUUUUCGUUUUGGUAUGCUGCUCGAGCACUUUCUUGCUAACCUGCUAAAAUAUGGGAAAAUCAUGUUCUUUGCAAGUCUAAUAAUUUCAGUUUCAGAUGCAUACAGAUAUGCUCAGGAAACCUUUUCUGGAUAACUACUUCAGUUAGCACAUGUGAGCACAUCCACUAGGAAGCAUUAUGAAAAAUAUUCAGGUAACAAAGAGGUUUGCAUUUUGAUUUCAUUCUCGGGGAGCUUAGGAGGAUGUAUCUGCUAUAUGAGAUGUCUGGUGUGAUGGUAAUUUCGUUUGAGUUGCUGUGCUAUAAGGAGUCAAGACUGACUUCUAAGCCUUUUGAAGCAUUGUAAGAUAUACUCCUGAAUGAUUAUACUCUUAGAAAUUGUGGAGGCCGAUGAUUGGAGUGCUUUCAGUUGAGUUUCUGUUUAAUCUGUAUUUAGAGCUAUCCCCUGGUUUCAUUAAUGCUUUAGAGAUGGAUCACUAAUUUCUGUUCCCCCCACCCCCCACCCCCCACAUGAAUUUACUAGAAAUUAAAUUGGAUGAACUUGUUGAACUCAAAUUGUUAGGUUGCUGAACAUUUUACUUGAUAAUUAUUAACAUGCCGAA
Nicotiana tabacum (common tobacco) is the source of this 758-nucleotide non-coding RNA. The record is from RefSeq and is a predicted model, not a curated record. Lineage: Eukaryota; Viridiplantae; Streptophyta; Magnoliopsida; Solanales; Solanaceae.